AGUGAACGCUGGCGGUAGGCCUAACACAUGCAAGUCGAACGGCAGCACAGUAAGAGCUUGCUCUUACGGGUGGCGAGUGGCGGACGGGUGAGGAAUACAUCGGAAUCUACUUUUUCGUGGGGGAUAACGUAGGGAAACUUACGCUAAUACCGCAUACGACCUACGGGUGAAAGCAGGGGAUCUUCGGACCUUUCGCGAUUGAAUGAGCCGAUGUCGCAUUAGCUAGUUGGCGGGGUAAAGGCCCACCAAGGCGACGAUCCGUAGCUGGUCUGAGAGGAUGAUCAGCCACACUGGAACUGAGACACGGUCCAGACUCCUACGGGAGGCAGCAGUGGGGAAUAUUGGACAAUGGGCGCAAGCCUGAUCCAGCAAUACCGCGUGGGUGAAGAAGGCCUUCGGGUUGUAAAGCCCUUUUGUUGGGAAAGAAAAGCAGCAGGUUAAUACCCCGCUGUUCUGACGGUACCCAAAGAAUAAGCACCGGCUAACUUCGUG
Molecule: ribosomal RNA, 492 nt
Filed under: uncultured bacterium
Lineage: Bacteria
Description: partial 16S ribosomal RNA
Rfam family: Bacterial small subunit ribosomal RNA
Source: RNAcentral